This 253-nucleotide ribosomal RNA is filed under the name uncultured bacterium. RNAcentral describes it as "partial 16S ribosomal RNA". It matches the Rfam family "Bacterial small subunit ribosomal RNA", at positions 524 to 776 of the family's 1533-position model. The record is from RNAcentral.
UACGGAGGGUGCAAGCGUUAUCCGGAUUCACUGGGCUUAAAGGGUGCGUAGGUGGGCUGGUAAGUCAGUGGUGAAAUCUCCGGGCUUAACUCGGAAACUGCCGUUGAUACUAUCUGUCUUGAAUAUCGUGGAGGUUAGCGGAAUAUGUCAUGUAGCGGUGAAAUGCUUAGAUAUGACAUAGAACACCCAUUGCGAAGGCAGCUAACUACACGAUCAUUGACACUGAGGCACGAAAGCGUGGGGAGCAAACAGG